UGGGGAAUUUUGGACAAUGGGGGCAACCCUGAUCCAGCCAUCCCGCGUGUGCGAUGAAGGCCUUCGGGUUGUAAAGCACUUUUGGCAGGGAAGAAACAGCCUGGGCUAAUAUCCCGGGCGACUGACGGUACCUGCAGAAGAAGCACCGGCUAACUACGUGCCAGCAGCCGCGGUAAUACGUAGGGUGCGAGCGUUAAUCGGAAUUACUGGGCGUAAAGCGUGCGCAGGCGGUUUUGUAAGACAGAUGUGAAAUCCCCGGGCUUAACCUGGGAACUGCGUUUGUGACUGCAAGGCUGGAGUACGGCAGAGGGGGGUGGAAUUCCACGUGUAGCAGUGAAAUGCGUAGAGAUGUGGAGGAACACCGAUGGCGAAGGCAGCCCCCUGGGCCUGUACUGACGCUCAUGCACGAAAGCGUGGGGAGCAAACA
RNAcentral lists this ribosomal RNA (427 nucleotides) under uncultured bacterium. RNAcentral describes it as "bacterial SSU rRNA". It matches the Rfam family "Bacterial small subunit ribosomal RNA", at positions 355 to 774 of the family's 1533-position model. The record is from RNAcentral.